Molecule: unclassified non-coding RNA, 253 nt
Filed under: uncultured Chitinophagales bacterium
Lineage: Bacteria; Pseudomonadati; Bacteroidota; Chitinophagia; Chitinophagales
Description: contains 16S-23S intergenic spacer region
Rfam family: Bacterial small subunit ribosomal RNA
Source: RNAcentral
UACGGAGGGUGCAAGCGUUAUCCGGAUUCACUGGGUUUAAAGGGUGCGUAGGCGGCUCAGUAAGUCAGUGGUGAAAGCCCAUGGCUCAACCAUGGAAUUGCCAUUGAAACUGCUAAGCUUGAGUACAUUUGAAGUGGGCGGAAUACAUCAUGUAGCGGUGAAAUGCUUAGAUAUGAUGUAGAACACCGAUUGCGAAGGCAGCUCACUAAACUGUAACUGACGCUGAGGUACGAAAGCGUGGGUAGCGAACAGG